Molecule: ribosomal RNA, 479 nt
Filed under: uncultured bacterium
Lineage: Bacteria
Description: partial 16S ribosomal RNA
Rfam family: Bacterial small subunit ribosomal RNA
Source: RNAcentral
GACGAACGCUGGCGGCGUGCUUAACACAUGCAAGUCGAGCGAUGAAGCACCUUCGGGUGUGAAUUAGCGGCGAACGGGUGAGGAACACGUGAGAAAUCUGCCUUCAACUCUGGGAUAACUCCGUGAAAACGGGGCUAAUACCGGAUAUGAAACCUGCGGGCAUCCGCGGGUUUGGAAAGUUUUUCGGUUGAAGAUGAUCUCGCGGCCUAUCAGCUUGUUGGUGAGGUAAUGGCUCACCAAGGCGACGACGGGGAGCCGGCCUGAGAGGGCGACCGGCCACACUGGGACUGGGACACGGCCCAGACUCCUACGGGAGGCAGCAGUGGGGAAUAUUGGGCAAUGGAGGAAACUCUGACCCAGCGACGCCGCGUGCGGGAUGAAGGCCUUCGGGUUGUAAACCGCUUUCAGCAGGGAAGAAGCGAAAGUGACGGUACCUGCAGAAGAAGCACCGGCUAACUAUGUGCCAGCCGCCGCCGUAA